CUGCUUGGAGUGAGACAUGGGCAGGACUUUUGGGACUAUUCCAUUGGUUCUAUUGCACCUGGCAAGCUCAGUCAAGCACAGUAAAGUAUUUAGAAAGAAAGCAAAUACUAUUUGAACCCAGGUUUGCUACUAGCCCACUUCAAAGAAGUAGAAUGAGGAGGAGGAGUGUAGGUACGUGUCUGAGUGUGUGUUUAGGGUUUACGUUAGGGGAAAAGGUGUCUGAGGUUGUGUUUAGGGUUUACGUUAGGAGAAAAGGUGUCUGAGGGUGUGUUUAGGGUUUAUGUUAGGGGAAAAGGUGUCUGAGGGUGUGUUUAGGGUUUAUGUUAGGGGAAAAGGUGUCUGAGGGUGUGUUUAGGGUUUACGUUAGGGGAAAAGGUGUCUGAGGGUGUGUUUAGGGUUUACGUUAGGGGAAAAGGUGUCUGAGUGUGUGUUUAGGGUUUAUGUUAGGGGAAAAGGUGUCUGAGCGUGUGUUUAGGGUUUACGUUAGGGGAAAAGGUGUCUGAGUGUGUGUUUAGGGUUUACGUUAGG
This 528-nucleotide long non-coding RNA is filed under the name Salmo salar (Atlantic salmon). RNAcentral's name for it is "lncRNA (ENSSSAG00000097981.1)". The record is from RNAcentral. Lineage: Eukaryota; Metazoa; Chordata; Actinopteri; Salmoniformes; Salmonidae.